CCUACGGGAGGCAGCAGUGGGGAAUUUUGGACAAUGGACGAAAGUCUGAUCCAGCAAUGCCGCGUGCAGGACGAAGGCCUUCGGGUUGUAAACUGCUUUUGUACGGAACGAAACGGCCUGCUUUAAUACAGUGGGCUAAUGACGGUACCGUAAGAAUAAGCACCGGCUAACUACGUGCCAGCAGCCGCGGUAAUACGUAGGGUGCGAGCGUUAAUCGGAAUUACUGGGCGUAAAGCGUGCGCAGGCGGUUAUAUAAGUCAGAUGUGAAAUCCCCGGGCUCAACCUGGGACCUGCAUUUGAGACUGUAUAGCUAGAGUACGGUAGAGGGGGAUGGAAUUCCGCGUGUAGCAGUGAAAUGCGUAGAUAUGCGGAGGAACACCGAUGGCGAAGGCAAUCCCCUGGACCUGUACUGACGCUCAUGCACGAAAGCGUGGGGAGCAAACAGGAUUAGAUACCCUGGUAGUCCACGCCCUAAACGACUGUCAACUGGUUGUUGGGUCUUCACUGACUCAGUAACGAAGCUAACGCGUGAAGUUGACCGCCUGGGGAGUACGGCCGCAAGGUUGAAACUUAAGGAAAUUGACGG
RNAcentral lists this ribosomal RNA (586 nucleotides) under uncultured bacterium. Its description in RNAcentral is "bacterial SSU rRNA". It matches the Rfam family "Bacterial small subunit ribosomal RNA", at positions 338 to 916 of the family's 1533-position model. The record is from RNAcentral.